GUGGCAGAGGCACGACACAGCACAACUUCCCCUUACCUGCAGGCUGGAAAGGAAAACAGUCUAGCACCUUGGAGCAUUUGAUCCUUGGCUUCUCCACUGAGAUGGAGAAAUCAGCAUGGCACACAGGGAGAUUUCAUGGUGUGACAUCUCCACUUGGAAACCAGCCUGAAAAAUACCAAAAACAGAGCCAAAAGUGGCUAUCAGCCUCAAGUAGAAGUACCCCAUUUUGACAUUUGACCUGUUAGAAGAGAAGGGAGCAGACAGACCCACAUCACUCGGUGAUCCAGGAGGCAAUCUGUCCAGGAAGUAUGGACUCCAGAAACCUACAACGAGCUCCACACCUUCUUAUCCAGGUGGCAUAGUGCCUCUACUCACUCUGUUAAG
This 384-nucleotide long non-coding RNA is filed under the name Gallus gallus (chicken). Its description in RNAcentral is "lncRNA (ENSGALG00010028385.1)". The record is from RNAcentral. Lineage: Eukaryota; Metazoa; Chordata; Aves; Galliformes; Phasianidae.